This 602-nucleotide ribosomal RNA is filed under the name bacterium enrichment culture clone aHCH2_H3. RNAcentral's name for it is "bacterial SSU rRNA". It matches the Rfam family "Bacterial small subunit ribosomal RNA", at positions 56 to 675 of the family's 1533-position model. The record is from RNAcentral.
UGCAAGUCGAGCGAGGGGAGUUCUUCGGAACAAACCUAGCGGCGGACGGGUGAGUAACACGUGGGCAACCUGCCUCAAAGAGGGGAAUAGCCUCCCGAAAGGGAGAUUAAUACCGCAUAAAGUUAUUUUUUCGCAUGAAGAGAUAACCAAAGGAGCAAUCCGCUUUGAGAUGGGCCCGCGGCGCAUUAGCUAGUUGGUGAGGUAACGGCUCACCAAGGCGACAAUGCGUAGCCGACCUGAGAGGGUGAUCGGCCACAUUGGAACUGAGACACGGUCCAGACUCCUACGGAAGGCAGCAGUGGGGAAUAUUGCGCAAUGGGGGAAACCCUGACGCACCAACGCCGCGUGAGCGAUGAAGGUCUUCGGAUUGUAAAGCUCUGUCUUUUGAGACGAUAAUGACGGUACCAAAGGAGGAAGCCACGGCUAAUUACGUGCCACCAGCCGCGGUAAUACGUAGGUGGCAAGCGUUGUCCGGAUUUACUGGGCGUAAAAAGUAUGUAGGCGGACAUUUAAGUCAAAUGUGAAAUUCCCGGGCUUAACCUGGGAGCUGCAUUUUAUACUGGGUGUCAAGAGUGCAGGAAAGGAAAGUGGAAUUCCUAUUG